RNAcentral lists this long non-coding RNA (876 nucleotides) under Pan troglodytes (chimpanzee). RNAcentral describes it as "lncRNA (ENSPTRG00000054052.1)". Lineage: Eukaryota; Metazoa; Chordata; Mammalia; Primates; Hominidae. The record is from RNAcentral.
UUCAUUUUCUUAUGAUAUUAUAAGGAGGUAUUAUUUUUAAAAAUUAAUAUUCUUUUUAUUCUUCUCAGGACUGGGAAUAUUUACUAAAUUCAGACUACCACCAGAAUGUUGAGUCUCAUCUUUUGAACAGAUCUUUAUGUCUGAGUCCUUCAGAAGCUUCACAGAUGAAGGAUGAGGAUUUUUCACAGAAUCUCAGUCUGGAUUCUUCUACACUUCCCUUUACUCACAUACCUGCAAUUUUUUUCGUUCUUCACCUUGUGUAUGAGGAGCUUAAGUUGAAUACUCUAAUGGGAGAAGGAAUUUGUUCACUUGUUGAACUUCUCAUUCAGUUGGCAAGGGACUUAAAAUUGGGGCCUUAUGUAGAUCAUUACUAUAGAGACUACCCAACGCUUGUCAGAACUACUGGACAAGUGUGCACAAUUGAUCCAGGUAAGUAGUCGUGCUUUUAAAUAUUUUCUAAACAGUGUAGUGAUAUUUCCUUGUAUCUUUCUCAAUGAAUAGCAGAGGAUGUAUUUCUUACCAUUAGCUUCUAAGUCAGGGGCAAUGCCUUUCCACCAGGCAGAUUUUAGUUCGUAGCGCUUGUUUUCUGACACGUAGUAAGCCAUAAUAUCUUCAGUGUAUAGGGAAAAUUUUACCCAUCCCUAAGGUUCUGACUUGCAAAAGUCAGAGAAAGAGCUUCCAGUGUCAAGGAUGCUUUUUUUUUUUUUUUUUGAGACGGAGUCUCGCUCUGUCACCCAGGCUGGUGUGCAGUGGCGCGAUCUCGGCUCACUGCAAACUCUGCCUCCUGGGUUCACGCCAUUCUCCUGCCUCAGCCUCCUGAGUAGCUGGGACUACAGGUGCCCGCCACCACGCCUGGCUAAUUUUUCUGUAUUUUUA